Priapulus caudatus is the source of this 237-nucleotide long non-coding RNA. RefSeq lists it as uncharacterized. Lineage: Eukaryota; Metazoa; Priapulida; Priapulimorpha; Priapulimorphida; Priapulidae. The record is from RefSeq and is a predicted model, not a curated record. The transcript is spliced from 3 exons.
UAGACUGCUACGUGCUUAAAGCAGUAACGCGCAUCCAGACACGAAAUGAUGUUGGCGACGGUGGUGUCGGUACGCAUGUGUCGGAUGUACAUUCCGUACGGGCUUCUUGCUUCAGGAAUCAUCUAUCUACUCUCUGGCAUUCUACACAAUCGACUCUUCAACGUUCUCGACGAUGUUCGCACGACGCCCCUUCCGAAGUCAACAUGGAGUUUCCGGAAAUCGAACAACUUGUCUUGG